Molecule: unclassified non-coding RNA, 392 nt
Filed under: soil metagenome
Description: partial contains 5.8S ribosomal RNA, internal transcribed spacer 2, and large subunit ribosomal RNA
Rfam family: 5.8S ribosomal RNA (bases 1-122)
Source: RNAcentral
GAUGAAGAACGUAGCGAAAUGCGAUACUUGGUGUGAAUUGCAGAAUCCCGUGAACCAUCGAGUCUUUGAACGCAAGUUGCGCCCGAAGCCAUUAGGCCGAGGGCACGCCUGCCUGGGCGUCACACGUCGUUGCCCCCCCCAUCUACUCCUUCGGGAUUGUGGGGGGCGGAUGAUGGCCUCCCGUGCGCCUCGCCGCGCGGUUGGCAUAAAUGCCAAGUCCUCGGCGACGCACGCCACGACAAUCGGUGGUUGCGAAACCUCGGUUGCCCGUCGUGUGCGGUCGUCGCGCAUCGAGGGCUCGAAAAAAUUGCCGAGUUCCGGCUCGGCUUUCAACGCGACCCCAGGUCAGGCGGGGUUACCCGCUGAAUUUAAGCAUAUCAAUAAGCGGAGGA